CAUGGUGUGCCCGCAAGGGAUAGUAAGUACAGGUGGUGCAUGGCUGUCGUCAGCUCGUGUCGUGAGAUGUUGGGUUAAGUCCCGCAACGAGCGCAACCCUUAUCCUUAGUUGUUUCCACGAAAGUGGUUACCCUCUAAGGAGACUGCCUCGGACAACGGGGAGGAAGUGGGGAUGACGUCAAGUCCGCAUGCUCCUUACGUCUAGGGCUACACACGUCCUACAAUGGGGUUGACAAUGGGAUGCAAUACCGCAAGGUGGAGCGAAUCCCCAAACGACCCCUCAGUUCGGAUUGCAGUCUGCAACUCGACUGCAUGAAGUCGGAAUCGCUAGUAAUGGCAGGUCAGCAUACUGCCGUGAAUACGUUCCCGGGUCUU
RNAcentral lists this ribosomal RNA (375 nucleotides) under uncultured bacterium. RNAcentral describes it as "bacterial SSU rRNA". It matches the Rfam family "Bacterial small subunit ribosomal RNA", at positions 1007 to 1382 of the family's 1533-position model. The record is from RNAcentral.